AAAGGAAUUGACGGGGGCCCGCACAAGCGGCGGAGCAUGCGGAUUAAUUCGAGGCAACGCGAAGAACCUUACCAAGGCUUGACAUGCACCUGGAGCAUUUGGAGACAAGUGUGACUUUGAUACGGGUGUGCAGGUGGUGCAUGGUUGUCGUCAGCUCGUGUCGUGAGAUGUUGGGUUAAGUCCCGCAACGAGCGCAACCCUUGUUCUAUGUUGCCAGCAACACUUUUGUGGUUGGGGACUCAUGGGAGACUGCCGGGGUUAACUCGGAGGAAGGUGGGGAUGACGUCAAAUCAUCAUGCCCCUUAUGUCUUGGGCUUCACGCAUGCUACAAUGGAUGGUACAGAGGGUUGCGAUACUGUGAGGUGGAGCGAAUCCCUUAAAGCUGUUCUCAGUUCGGAUCGGAGUCUGCAACUCGACUUCGUGAAGGUGGAGUCGCUAGUAAUCGCAGAUCAGCAACGCUGCGGUGAAUGCGUUCUCGGGCCUUGUACACACCGCCCGU
RNAcentral lists this ribosomal RNA (499 nucleotides) under uncultured bacterium. Its description in RNAcentral is "bacterial SSU rRNA". It matches the Rfam family "Bacterial small subunit ribosomal RNA", at positions 903 to 1397 of the family's 1533-position model. The record is from RNAcentral.